UGAGUAAUGUCUGGGAAACUGCCUGAUGGAGGGGGAUAACUACUGGAAACGGUAGCUAAUACCGCAUAACGUCGCAAGACCAAAGAGGGGGACCUUCGGGCCUCUUGCCAUCAGAUGUGCCCAGAUGGGAUUAGCUAGUAGGUGGGGUAAUGGCUCACCUAGGCGACGAUCCCUAGCUGGUCUGAGAGGAUGACCAGCCACACUGGAACUGAGACACGGUCCAGACUCCUACGGGAGGCAGCAGUGGGGAAUAUUGCACAAUGGGCGCAAGCCUGAUGCAGCCAUGCCGCGUGUGUGGAGAAGGCCUUCGGGUUGUAAAGCACUUUCAGCGAGGAGGAAGGUGGUGAGCUUAAUACGCUCAUCAAUUGACGUUACUCGCAGAAGAAGCACCGGCUAACUCCGUGCCAGCAGCCGCGGUAAUACGGAGGGUGCAAGCGUUAAUCGGAAUUACUGGGCGUAAAGCGCACGCAGGCGGUUUGUUAAGUCAGAUGUGAAAUCCCCGGG
RNAcentral lists this ribosomal RNA (504 nucleotides) under uncultured bacterium. Its description in RNAcentral is "bacterial SSU rRNA". It matches the Rfam family "Bacterial small subunit ribosomal RNA", at positions 107 to 607 of the family's 1533-position model. The record is from RNAcentral.